RNAcentral lists this ribosomal RNA (198 nucleotides) under uncultured bacterium. RNAcentral's name for it is "partial 16S ribosomal RNA". It matches the Rfam family "Bacterial small subunit ribosomal RNA", at positions 1296 to 1500 of the family's 1533-position model. The record is from RNAcentral.
GACUGGAGUCUGCAACCCGACUCCACGAAGCUGGAUUCGCUAGUAAUCGCGCAUCAGCCACGGCGCGGUGAAUACGUUCCCGGGCCUUGUACACACCGCCCGUCAAGCCAUGGGGAGCCGGGGGUACCUGAAGUGCGUAACCGCGAGGAGCGCCCUAGGGUAAAACUGGUGACUGGGGCUAAGUCGUAACAAGGUAAC